RNAcentral lists this ribosomal RNA (420 nucleotides) under uncultured bacterium. RNAcentral describes it as "bacterial SSU rRNA". It matches the Rfam family "Bacterial small subunit ribosomal RNA", at positions 356 to 773 of the family's 1533-position model. The record is from RNAcentral.
GAGGAAUAUUGCGCAAUGGAGGCAACUCUGACGCAGCCAUGCCGCGUGCAGGAUGAAGGCGCUACGCGUUGUAAACUGCUUUUAAUCGGGAAGAAACCCCGGGACGUGUCCCGGGUUGACGGUACCGAUGGAAUAAGCACCGGCUAACUUCGUGCCAGCAGCCGCGGUAAUACGAAGGGUGCAAGCGUUAUCCGGAUUCAUUGGGUUUAAAGGGUGCGUAGGCGGAACAAUAAGUCAGCGGUGAAAGCCCGUAGCUUAACUACGGAAUUGCCGUUGAUACUGUUGUUCUUGAGUGCGUUUGACGUGGGCGGAAUGUGCCGUGUAGCGGUGAAAUGCUUAGAUAUGGCACAGAACACCGAUAGUGAAGACAGCUCACGAAGACGAAACUGACGCUGAGGCACGAAAGCGUGGGGAUCAAAC